AGUAACGCGUAAAGAACUUGCCUCACAGUUAGGGACAACAUUUGGAAACGAAUGCUAAUACCUGAUAUUAUGAUUUUAGGGCAUCCUAAGAUUAUGAAAGCUAUAUGCGCUGUGAGAGAGCUUUGCGUCCCAUUAGCUAGUUGGAGAGGUAACGCUCACCAAGGCGAUGAUGGGUAGCCGGCCUGAGAGGGUGAACGGCCACAAGGGGACUGAGACACGGCCCUU
This 225-nucleotide ribosomal RNA is filed under the name uncultured bacterium. Its description in RNAcentral is "partial 16S ribosomal RNA". It matches the Rfam family "Bacterial small subunit ribosomal RNA", at positions 109 to 334 of the family's 1533-position model. The record is from RNAcentral.